GAUGAACGCUGGCGGCGUGCCUAAUACAUGCAAGUCGAGCGAACAGAUAAGGAGCUUGCUCCUUUGACGUUAGCGGCGGACGGGUGAGUAACACGUGGGUAACCUACCUAUAAGACUGGAAUAACUCCGGGAAACCGGGGCUAAUGCCGGAUAACAUUUAGAACCGCAUGGUUCUAAAGUGAAAGAUGGUUUUGCUAUCACUUAUAGAUGGUCCCGCGCCGUAUUAGCUAGUUGGUAAGGUAACGGCUUACCAAGGCAACGAUACGUAGCCGACCUGAGAGAGGGAUCGGCCACACUGGAACUGAGACACGGGCCAGACUCCGACGGGAGGCAGCAGUAGGGAAUCUUCGGCAAUGGGCGAAAGCCUGACGGAGCAACGCCGCGUGAGUGAUGAAGGUCUUCGGAUCGUAAAGCUCUGUUAUUAGGGAAGAACAAAUGUGUAAGUAACUGUGCACGUCUUGACGGUACCUAAGCAGAAAGCCACGGCUAACUACGUG
This 497-nucleotide ribosomal RNA is filed under the name uncultured bacterium. RNAcentral describes it as "partial 16S ribosomal RNA". It matches the Rfam family "Bacterial small subunit ribosomal RNA", at positions 28 to 507 of the family's 1533-position model. The record is from RNAcentral.